AGCGCGGGAGCAUCCUGGCGGCGAGUGGCGAACGGGUGAGUAAUAUAUCGGAACGUACCUUUCAGUGGGGGAUAACGUAGCGAAAGUUACGCUAAUACCGCAUAUUCUGUGCGCAGGAAAGCAGGGGAUCGCAAGACCUUGCGCUGAUUGAGCGGCCGAUAUCAGAUUAGCUAGUUGGUGAGGUAAAGGCUCACCAAGGCGACGAUCUGUAGCGGGUCUGAGAGGAUGAUCCGCCACACUGGAACUGAGACACGGUCCAGACUCCUACGGGAGGCAGCAGUGGGGAAUUUUGGACAAUGGGGGCAACCCUGAUCCAGCCAUGCCGCGUGAGUGAAGAAGGCCUUCGGGUUGUAAAGCUCUUUCGGCCGGGAAGAAAUCGCACAGGUUAAUACCCUGUGUGGAUGACGGUACCGGAAUAAGAAGCACCGGCUAACUACGUGCCAGCAGCCGCGGUAAUACGUAGGGUGCGAGCGUUAAUCGGAAUUACUGGGCGUAAAGCGUGCGCAGGCGGUUUUGUAAGACAGGCGUGAAAUCCCCGGGCUCAACCUGGGAACUGCGUUUGUGGCUGCAAGGCUAGAGUAUGGCAGAGGGGGGUGGAAUUCCACGUGUAGCAGUGAAAUGCGUAGAGAUGUGGAGGAACACCGAUGGCGAAGGCAGCCCCCUGGGCCAAUACUGACGCUCAUGCACGAAAGCGUGGGUAGCAAACAGGAUUAGAUACCCUGGUAGUCCACGCCCUAAACGAUGUCAACUGGUUGUUGGGAAUUUACUUUCUCAGUAACGAAGCUAACGCGUGAAGUUGACCGCCUGGGGAGUAC
This 815-nucleotide ribosomal RNA is filed under the name uncultured bacterium. RNAcentral describes it as "bacterial SSU rRNA". It matches the Rfam family "Bacterial small subunit ribosomal RNA", at positions 71 to 883 of the family's 1533-position model. The record is from RNAcentral.